This 77-nucleotide transfer RNA is filed under the name Bacillota bacterium. RNAcentral describes it as "tRNA-Val". It matches the Rfam family "tRNA". From Rfam's summary of the family: Transfer RNA (tRNA) molecules are approximately 80 nucleotides in length. Their secondary structure includes four short double-helical elements and three loops (D, anti-codon, and T loops). Lineage: Bacteria; Bacillati; Bacillota. RNAcentral also lists the same sequence under 5 other names. The record is from RNAcentral.
GGAGGCUUAGCUCAGCUGGUUAGAGCGCAUGCUUCACACGCAUGAGGUCACAGGUUCGAGUCCCGUAGUCUCCACCA